UCUCGGCUUAUCACCGGCAGUCCCCCUAGAGUGCCCAACUGAAUGAUGGCAAUUAAGGGCGAGGGUUGCGCUCGUUGCGGGACUUAACCCAACAUCUCACGACACGAACUGACGACAGCCAUGCAGCACCUAACCGCAGGUUCUCCGAAGAGCACCCCGAUCUUUCGACCAGGUUCCUGCGUUUUCUAGCCCAGGUAAGGUUCUGCGCGUUGCGUCGAAUUGAACCACAUGCUCCACCGCUUGUGCGGGCCCCCGUCAAUUCCUUUGAGUUUUAAUCUUGCGACCGUACUCCCCAGGCGGAAUGCUUAAAGCGUUAGCUGCGCCACUGACAGGCAAGCCUGCCAACGGCUAGCAUUCAUCGUUUACGGCGUGGACUAC
This 378-nucleotide unclassified non-coding RNA is filed under the name uncultured Alphaproteobacteria bacterium. RNAcentral describes it as "contains 16S-23S intergenic spacer region". Lineage: Bacteria; Pseudomonadati; Pseudomonadota; Alphaproteobacteria. The record is from RNAcentral.